ACGAGUUAGGGUCUCCUAGGCCCGACCUCCCAACCCUUUGUUUACUAGACCUCUGUUGCUUUGGCGGACCCGUCUCAGACAUGGGACCGCCAGAGGAUCGCCUACCUGGGCGUCCUCUGGCCCGUUGUCCGCCGACAGCCAAUUCUCCCAUCUCUGGAAUAAUCAUGAUAUAUUGUCUAAGUGAAUUUAUUCAAUUAAAAAGCAA
RNAcentral lists this unclassified non-coding RNA (205 nucleotides) under uncultured Cladophialophora. Its description in RNAcentral is "sequence contains ITS1". The record is from RNAcentral. Lineage: Eukaryota; Fungi; Ascomycota; Eurotiomycetes; Chaetothyriales; Herpotrichiellaceae.